Long non-coding RNA from Triticum aestivum (bread wheat), 2039 nucleotides. RefSeq lists it as uncharacterized. The transcript has 4 exons. NCBI's taxonomy places the organism in Eukaryota, Viridiplantae, Streptophyta, Magnoliopsida, Poales, Poaceae. The record is from RefSeq and is a predicted model, not a curated record.
CCGAGUCAUCCCAUACGCCGCCGCCGCGUAAAGCCCUAUCCCUAACCCGCUCUCGUCUCCCUCCCUAGGACGCAGUCGCCCUGGCCAUGCCGCCGCCGCCGCCCACCCGUACGUCGCCAGCAACGGCCUCGCCAUCAUCCUCAUGUGCGCCCGACGUUUCCGUCUCCUCGCUGGCCCUAGGCUCAUCGAGCUUCCUCUCCAUGCGUUGCUGCCUCCUCUGCGCCGCCACCCCAUGGUCUCCACCAGCGUCCCUGCGGAGUACAUGGGAGCCGCCGCUGCCGCCGGGGACAAGGAUACACAUGGAAACCGCCACAGCCUUAGGCACGCCUGCGGGCUAGCCUAUGCCUACUAUAUCCGGUGUUCUGGUGCAUCCGGUGCGACCUCAAAGAAUACAUUCUUCUAGCUGAGCUUUGAGCUCCUCAGGGACGAUGCCUGGGGUGGAAGCAGUUCAACUGCACGAUGAAGAAGUGAGUUAAGGGGUUAAGACGGUUGCGUUGGGCGUGCCCUGCUUGCUUGCUGUGCCUAGCAUCACCGGCAACAAGUUCAACGCUGUCCGACAAGGUGCCCUGCAGGGACAACCUCGGUCGACCUGUCAUCGAACUUCACUGCUUGAGGCAGGAGCAGUGACUAGCAUUGACCAGGAGGAGCAAGAAGCAGCGACAGCUACCAUUGCUGGCUGAGCUAGCUGCUAGGUUGCCUCUCUCUUUCCCUCAUAUUCAUAUAUGUGGGUUUGCAACAGCCAAAAGUACGCUCGUGAUUCUUUGUUUUUACUAACAAUCCAUAUUUGGAUGCCUUCUUUCUCCCCAGUUACUUGCGACGGGUUGUGGGCAACUACAAGUUAGAAGAAUCAGUACUGAAAACGUCUUCUGAAUGUUAAUAAAAUGCUUUUCCUGUUGUGCAUUUGUAUGCUUCAGUUCUCUUUUUCGUGCCGGGUAUGCUUCAGUUAUACUAAAACAUCCAUCUUAUUUGUGUGCAAAUAUUUGUUAUCAUUCAAGUUAGCUGUAUAUAUAUAGUACUAAGUUCAACAUGCACACAAAGAUGAUCCGGUUGAGGUUUACUGGCAUAAUGUGUAUCAUUGCUCUAUGCAUGCUGAAAAGGUUAUGCAUAUAGACUAAAUUAUACUACCACCGUCCUAAAAAUCUUGUCUUGGAUUUAUCUAGAUAUAGAUGAAUCUAACACUAAAACGUGUCUAGAUAUAUCCGUUUCUACACAAAUCUAAGACAAGCUUUUUGGGACAGAGGGGGUAGCUGCUUGAGAUUAUUCACAGAAAAUGGCAUUCUUAGAAUGUCUCGGUCAGUGCCAUUCUUGCAAUCAUAUAAAAAUUCGUAAAUUACUAUGUUUGACCAGAAUUGGUUACUUGAUAUGUGGGUUGAGAAGAAGGAAAGGAAAAAAUGUCCUAUAAUGAUAUUAUUUUUUGACAAUGUUGCUUGAUGUGCACGGGAUCCUAAAAGUCUUUUGCCCCUCCAAGCAUUCGUGGGAAGCUCCGCCACUCAUUGACUUGGGAUAUCAUAUUCAUUGAGAAUAGGUGGACAAUGUGACGAUCAUCGACGAUUUUUGUCUCCCGUAGCAACGCAUGAUGUAGGCGGUGACUUGGGCAACGGGGCGGCAAGGCGGAAUGCAUCAGCACUCCUCAAUUGUGGGUAGCGUUGGUGGCGGUGACUUGGGCUGGGAAGCAAUGAGUAUCAGCACUUGCAAUUGCAGGUGGCAGUGGCUGGGGGUUAGGAAGAGAAAGGUGGGCGUUUUUGCAGGGUGGACAAAAAAAGGCAGUGGCGGGAGGAAAAAGAACAACAAUAACAUCGGGUCAUUGCCGACGGAGGAAAGGCAGGGGUUAACAUAUUCAAGUGUGGCUAGGCAGAAAGUCGCGAGCGCCUGAGUUGGUGGCGGGUUUAGAGGAUCAAGGGUGCCGACCAAGACAACCUUAAUAUUUUUUAUUUACUAGUAAGAUGCCCGUGCAUUGCACGGAACAUCAAGAUGUAUUUUUUUACAAAACAAUUGUUGUGAUUGACCCAUGUGGGAGUAAUUCCAUGUGUAAAAACUAA